GUUAAGCGACUAAGCGUACACGGUGGAUGCCCUGGCAGUCAGAGGCGAUGAAGGACGUGCUAAUCUGCGAUAAGCGUCGGUAAGGUGAUAUGAACCGUUAUAACCGGCGAUUUCCGAAUGGGGAAACCCAGUGUGUUUCGACACACUAUCAUUAACUGAAUCCAUAGGUUAAUGAGGCGAACCGGGGGAACUGAAACAUCUAAGUACCCCGAGGAAAAGAAAUCAACCGAGAUUCCCCCAGUAGCGGCGAGCGAACGGGGAGCAGCCCAGAGUCUGAAUCAGUGUGUGUGUUAGUGGAAGCGUCUGGAAAGGCGCGCGAUACAGGGUGACAGCCCCGUACACAAAAAUGCACAUGCUGUGAGCUCGAUGAGUAGGGCGGGACACGUGGUAUCCUGUCUGAAUAUGGGGGGACCAUCCUCCAAGGCUAAAUACUCCUGACUGACCGAUAGUGAACCAGUACCGUGAGGGAAAGGCGAAAAGAACCCCGGCGAGGGGAGUGAAAAAGAACCUGAAACCGUGUACGUACAAGCAGUGGGAGCCUCUUUAUGGGGUGACUGCGUACCUUUUGUAUAAUGGGUCAGCGACUUAUAUUCUGUAGCAAGGUUAACCGAAUAGGGGAGCCGAAGGGAAACCGAGUCUUAACUGGGCGUUAAGUUGCAGGGUAUAGACCCGAAACCCGGUGAUCUAGCCAUGGGCAGGUUGAAGGUUGGGUAACACUAACUGGAGGACCGAACCGACUAAUGUUGAAAAAUUAGCGGAUGACUUGUGGCUGGGGGUGAAAGGCCAAUCAAACCGGGAGAUAGCUGGUUCUCCCCGAAAGCUAUUUAGGUAGCGCCUCGUGAAUUCAUCUCCGGGGGUAGAGCACUGUUUCGGCAAGGGGGUCAUCCCGACUUACCAACCCGAUGCAAACUGCGAAUACCGGAGAAUGUUAUCACGGGAGACACACGGCGGGUGCUAACGUCCGUCGUGAAGAGGGAAACAACCCAGACCGCCAGCUAAGGUCCCAAAGUCAUGGUUAAGUGGGAAACGAUGUGGGAAGGCCCAGACAGCCAGGAUGUUGGCUUAGAAGCAGCCAUCAUUUAAAGAAAGCGUAAUAGCUCACUGGUCGAGUCGGCCUGCGCGGAAGAUGUAACGGGGCUAAACCAUG
Molecule: ribosomal RNA, 1147 nt
Filed under: Escherichia coli
Lineage: Bacteria; Pseudomonadati; Pseudomonadota; Gammaproteobacteria; Enterobacterales; Enterobacteriaceae
Description: partial 23S ribosomal RNA
Rfam family: Bacterial large subunit ribosomal RNA
Source: RNAcentral